RNAcentral lists this RNase P RNA (445 nucleotides) under Chloracidobacterium sp. CP2_5A. RNAcentral describes it as "RNase P RNA component class A". It matches the Rfam family "Bacterial RNase P class A". Rfam says of the family: Ribonuclease P (RNase P) is a ubiquitous endoribonuclease, found in archaea, bacteria and eukarya as well as chloroplasts and mitochondria. Its best characterised activity is the generation of mature 5'-ends of tRNAs by cleaving the 5'-leader elements of precursor-tRNAs. The record is from RNAcentral. Lineage: Bacteria; Pseudomonadati; Acidobacteriota; Blastocatellia; Chloracidobacteriales; Chloracidobacteriaceae.
GGGGCGGAUGGGACGGUCGCUGCCCGCGUCGCCGCGACCGCGGGGGCGCGGGGAGAGGAAAGUCCGAACACCGCAGAGCAGCGAGCCGGCUAACGGCCGGGCGCGCUUGGCGCGGCGACGCCGCGCCAAGCGCGACGACAAGUGCAACAGAGAAUAGACAGCCUGACUUCUACGCUCCGGGGCGCGGGCUCCAAGCGUAGGAGUGGCGAUGGUGAAACGGUGCGGUAAAGGCGCACCAGCGAGCGUGGCGACACGCUCGGCUAGGCAAACUCCUCGUGGUGCAAGACCAAAUAUGGAGGCGACUGAGGGCGGCUCGUCCGAGUCCCGCUCCGGCGGGCGCGUCUCCGGGUAGGUCGCUUGAGCCGACGAGCAAUCGCCGGCCUAGAUGAAUGACCGUCGCCGUCGUUUGACGGAACAGAAUUCGGCUUACACAUCCGUCCCAAAU